CAACAGUUCAGCUUCCCAUUUUGGGACCACAGUCCCCCUCAUUUUCCUCCUCCUCUCAGGCCGAGGGUCUCAAGAACAGAGAUCAUCUUCUUCCUGAAGACAGAGGACAUCACCACACCCUCCUCAACUCUUCUCUGUUCACUCCACUCCUGUGUUGGUAGUCGCUGAAGCAGCUCAUCCAAUGGCACUUCAGACUGAUACUUAGCUACUAAAUAGAAUUUCUUCAAAUCUGGGCACUAACAUUCUGCAUUUUUCAAGGAAUUAAUAGAUCUGUUCCCUUUGAAAAUGUCUUGAAAAUACUUGCUGAUUUCAAAGGAUGCCUGUGAUCGGUAUCAGCCUGCAAACAACUUGG
Molecule: long non-coding RNA, 352 nt
Organism: Vidua chalybeata
Lineage: Eukaryota; Metazoa; Chordata; Aves; Passeriformes; Viduidae
Exons: 3
Source: RefSeq, a predicted model, not a curated record